AUUUUGUGGUGAGGACACUGAAUUAAUAGGUCUUGAAACCUCUCCCAUAUUUCAAAGAAAACCUCAUUAUCUUUCUACCAAAAAUUCCUAAAGGU
Molecule: non-coding RNA, 95 nt
Organism: Thalictrum thalictroides
Lineage: Eukaryota; Viridiplantae; Streptophyta; Magnoliopsida; Ranunculales; Ranunculaceae
Source: the annotation of a GenBank genome assembly